RNAcentral lists this long non-coding RNA (236 nucleotides) under Nicotiana benthamiana. Its description in RNAcentral is "long non-coding RNA (NBEN_LNC025553)". Lineage: Eukaryota; Viridiplantae; Streptophyta; Magnoliopsida; Solanales; Solanaceae. The record is from RNAcentral.
AGCGUACCUGAAUCCAUAAGUGGAAAUCUUUAGUCCUUCUUGAAGAUUGUCCAAGGUGUGCCUUUAAGAAGCUCCUUGAUCCUUCAUUUAGGAUUGUCUUGAAGUUUUUGUUUUCACAAGAAUAUAUCCAAGCCCAAAAAUUGAGGAUUGGUUUUUCACUUGAUAUGCAAGACCAAAAUGCUCUCUAGUUUCAAUGGGAGGAAGAAGAGAAUGUCUUGCAUUCUUAUUGGAACCAU